GCACAGGCCCGGGGCGGUUGGCGGCAACGAUCCUACAGCUUCGGUUGGCGGCGUUAGGUGCUGCCGGUUAUAGUCAGGAUUUAUUUUAACUUGCGGGUCGUUACCUGAGAGAAGCCAAGUCAAUGCUUCUCGAUGAAGAAGGCAAAUAUAAAGAUUCGUACUGAGGCUGGUCUGGAGCAGUGAAUGAAGGAGUGAAUCUUGGUGAACCCAGUGAACGGACCUGGUUAUAAUGGGUGGAAAUUGGCUGACAGCAGAACAUCUCCAUUCAGUCAUCAAAGAUGGCCUAAACUUUCAUUUGCCUGCCACUUUAAUUGUUCAUCACACUUCCAUUGGAUAUUGUGUACCUUCCAUUGGAUAUCUGUCUUCUUGCCUCUUGCAGUGCUGCAUAUACAUUGUUCUGCAUUUCACAAUUUUGAGAUCUUUUAAUUUAUCCUAAUUCAUUUCCUUUUGGAUCUCAGAUAGUCACCAUCACAUACUCACCUGCCACCACCACCUUUCAUGACAUUGGGUUAUCUCUUGGUGUCCACCUUUGCUAGGUGUUUCCUUUGCUCUCUCUAUCUUUCUCUUCGACUAAACACAUGUUUAAUUUCUGACUUUCCCUGGUUCCAAUGAAACUACCGGGCUAGCAUUCUUUCUCCAUGAGUAUCACAUGUGGAGAACUGAGCAAAUUUGGGCCCCAUAUCUGAGGAAGGAUAUGCUGGCUCUGGAGAGGGUCCAGAGGUGGUUUACAAGAAUGAUUCCAGGAAUGAGUGGGUUAGCAUAUGAUGAGUGUUUGACAGCACUUGGCCUCUACUCGUUGGAGUUUAGAAGGUUGAGGGAGGACCUCAAUGAAACUUACAGAAUAAUGAAAGGCAUAGAAUAGAGUGGAUGUGGAAAGGAUGUUUGCACUGGUGGGAGAGUCUAGGACCAGAGAUCACAGCCUCAGAAUUAAAGAAGAACUUCUUUAGUCAGAUGGUAGUUAAUCUGUGGAACAUUGCCACAGAGGGCUGUGGAGGCCAAGUCAGUGGAUAUUUUCAAGGCAGGGAUAGACAAAUUCUUGAUUUGAAUGGGUGUCAAGGAAAAUGGGAUUAGGAGACAGAGAUCAGCCAUAUAGACUUGAUGGGCCAAAUGGCCUAAUUCUCCUAGAACUUGUUAACCACCUGUGCUGCAGAGUAUUUCCAGCAUUUUCUGUUUUAUAUUCGGCAGAAAGAUCUUAUUAUUUAAUUUGAGUGCUUUGGGCUAUGUGUUAAAGACAGCUACAGUUUAUGCAUAAAACAUUUCAGUAAAAUAUAUACAUUUUUAUGCCAUUGGGUAAAAUAAAUGAACAAAAGGAACCAUUGAUGAGUAGAGGACCUAUAGAGCCACACAGCACAGAAGCAGGCUCUUUGGCCCAACUCGUCCAUGCGCACCAAGAUGCUCCAUCUAAGCUAGUGCAUUUUGCCUGCAUUUGACCCAUAUCCCUCUAAACCUUUCCUCUCCAAAUGUUUUUCAACAAUUGUUAUUUUACCUGCUCAAACUAUUUCCUCUGGCACCUCAUUCCAUAUACCCUCUGUGUGGAAAAGUCACCUCAAGUUCCUAUUAAAUCUUUCACUUUGAUCUGUGCCCUCUAGUUCUUGAUUCCCCUAUCCUGGGAAAAAGGACUCUGUGGAUUCAACAUAUCUAUUCCCCUCAUGAUGUACACCUCUAAGAUCAACCUUUGCUCUCCAAGAAAUAAAGUCCUAAUCUCUCCCUCGAGUUCAGGCUGCAUCCUCCUAAAUCUUCAUUGCACUCUUUCCAACUUAAUAGCAUCUUUCGUACGGAAGGGUGACCAAGACUGAACACAAUACUCCAAGUUCCAACUUCUGUCCUCAAUUCUAUGACUGAUGAGUACCAAGGUGCCAAAAGCCUCCUUCACUACCUUAUCUACCCGUGACCCCACUAUGGGGUGGAAGAUAGCAACCUUCACGUGGUCCGCCCUGUUUCAACAAAUGCAAUCAACCCUGCGUGCACAAUCAAAUAAGAUCAAAUAGAAUAAGUUGUCUCACAACUUUAGGCUGUGCACGCCAUGCGCAAGAAGAAAACCCUACUAUUAGGGAACAAUGCAGUGGUGCUCCUAGAUACCUCUUCUACUGCAUUUUCCAGGGCCCUACCAUCACUUUGAAGGUCCUGUCUUGGUUUGACGUCGUAAAAUACAACCUCGCACUCAUCUGAAUUAAACUCCAGUUGCCAUUCCUCGGCCCACUUGCCCAGCUGAUCAAAAUCGCAUUGUAACUUGAUUACCAUCAUCACUGUCUACAAUUCCACCUAAUUUAGUGUCAUCUGCAAACUUACUAAUGAACAUUCUCAUCCAAGUUAUUGAUAUAGAUGAUAAACAACAAUGGGCCCACCACUGAUUACUGAGGCAAAUCAUUAGCCAUAGCCUCCAAUCUGAAAAACCUCCUGAACCAUUACAUUCUGCCUGCUACCAGUUUUUUAAACACGUAUUUCCUAUUCUAGUCGUGUGUCUUGCGUUGUGAAUGUGGAUCUCAAAAGUAUUUGAAAUGUUAGUAAUUUACAAAACUAACUGACGACAAAGUUUGUUUAUCUCUGAUAAUCGUUCUUUAAAUUUCCUGUUCAUGGUGAGUGGACAAUAUUGAAUGAUGUGAGCAUAUCACUGGCACUUAGACAGAAUCCUUGCUUGUGUGGUGCAUUUGGGUUGAGGAUUGGAGCUGGGUUUCCACCUCAACAUUUUUUUCUCAUGAAUGAAUAUUCAUGAUGUUCAUUUGCUCUCUGGUUCCUCAGCUAAUUGGCAAUCAAUGAAAAUCAAAAAAGAGCAUAUGAAAACCCAAUGUGAACACAGGCAAUGCUUUGCCAGUUCUGAUGAUGGAUUUUCUACCUGCCUAUUUUACAAAUGCAGACUGAAAGUUGGUGGCCUGGUCGAUGAGGAUUUGGGUAUGUACAAUAGAAAGAAGCCCACGUGUGCAGUUUGUAAUGGACAUUGCUAAUUGACUACAGUGGGAACCUGCCCCGUCUCCCCUGCACCCUCCCUGCCCAAAUUUCAGACAGGGGUAACACUUCCAUUUGUGGUAGUGGAUGAAUGAUAAUGUGGCAGCUACAUUGAAUCUAUGGCUGCAUGCAAUUCUGUAAAGUAUACUUGCUCCCUACUGAAAGUCAAAGCUCAAUAAAAUUAUUUUUCACAAAUGA
This is a long non-coding RNA of Amblyraja radiata (thorny skate), 3141 nucleotides long. RefSeq lists it as uncharacterized. The transcript has 2 exons. The record is from RefSeq and is a predicted model, not a curated record. Lineage: Eukaryota; Metazoa; Chordata; Chondrichthyes; Rajiformes; Rajidae.